Molecule: non-coding RNA, 73 nt
Organism: Rattus norvegicus (Norway rat)
Lineage: Eukaryota; Metazoa; Chordata; Mammalia; Rodentia; Muridae
Source: Rfam
GGGGAGAUGGCUCAGUGGUUAAGAGCACUGGCUGCUCUUCCAGAGGUCCUGAGUUCAAAUCCCAGCAACCACA